UUGGAGUGCAUCGCCUUUUUUUGGUUGUACAGUGUGCUACACUACAAGCGUGAGCGUAUGAAUGACUCUCGGCAAUGGAUAUCUUGGCUCUCGUGUCGAUGAAGAACGUAGCGAAAUGCGACACUUGGUGUGAAUUGCAGAAUCCCGUGAACCAUCGAGUCUUUGAAUGCAAGUUGCGCUUGAGACCUUUAGGUCGAGAGCACGUCUGCUUGGGCGUCAUGCCUUGCGUCAUUCUAAACAUCAACCUACCUUAAAUAAAAGUGUGGGUAACGGUGGAUGUGGAGAUUGGCCCUCCGUGCUCUUGAUGUGCGGUUGGUUUAGGAGACGGUCGUCGUUAGGAUUGCAUGCGGCGAAUGUUGAUCGAGUUCAUGCACGAAGUCUCCAGCUGCGUACAUGAGUCCUAACCAUGAUGUAUAAUAAUUGAAACCAUUAACAAUGUUUGCACUAUUCGCAAGCAUGGACC
RNAcentral lists this unclassified non-coding RNA (463 nucleotides) under Allium tricoccum (wild leek). RNAcentral describes it as "sequence contains ITS1, 5.8S rRNA gene, ITS2". The stretch from base 64 to 219 matches the Rfam family "5.8S ribosomal RNA". The record is from RNAcentral. Lineage: Eukaryota; Viridiplantae; Streptophyta; Magnoliopsida; Asparagales; Amaryllidaceae.